GGCUACACCCACUAACACAAAGUUUGUGCACUUCUCCAAGUCCUUUGGCAUCCAUUCCUCUCCAGUCUUUAGACAGAGCAAGAAUGAUCCUGUGGCUCAAUGUGUUAUCCUUACUAGCAGUCCUCAAAGGUGUCCGAUCUCAGGCCCAGUUGGUGGAGUCUGGGGGAGAUGUGAAAAGACCUGGAGAGACCCUCCAGAUCUCCUGCCAAGCUUCUGGAUUUACCUUCAGCAGCUACGGCAUGCACUGGGUGAGGCAGGCUCCAGGAAAAGGACUGGAAUGGGUUGCAGGCAUCUAUACUGAUUCCAGUGGAAAGUUCUACUCAGACAAAGUGAAGGGACGCUUCACCAUUUCCAGGGACAAUGCCAAAAGCCAGCUGUAUCUGCAGAUGAACAGCCUCAAACCAGAGGACUCAGGCAUCUAUUACUGUGCAGGAGACACAGUGAGAGAAAGUGAAUCUGACACCAGGCAAAAACGUUCUCUUCUUUUGAGCAACUUUCCAAACUGA
Non-coding RNA from Protobothrops mucrosquamatus (brown spotted pit viper), 506 nucleotides. Lineage: Eukaryota; Metazoa; Chordata; Lepidosauria; Squamata; Viperidae. The record is from the annotation of a RefSeq genome assembly.